RNAcentral lists this ribosomal RNA (831 nucleotides) under Salmonella enterica subsp. arizonae. RNAcentral's name for it is "partial 23S ribosomal RNA". It matches the Rfam family "Bacterial large subunit ribosomal RNA", at positions 1 to 863 of the family's 2925-position model. Lineage: Bacteria; Pseudomonadati; Pseudomonadota; Gammaproteobacteria; Enterobacterales; Enterobacteriaceae. The record is from RNAcentral.
GGGUUGUGAGGUUAAGCGACCAAGCGUACACGGUGGAUGCCCUGGCAGUCAGAGGCGAUGAAGGACGUGCUAAUCUGCGAAAAGCGCCGGUAAGGUGAUAUGAACCGUUAUAACCGGCGAUGUCCGAAUGGGGAAACCCAGUGUGACUCGUCACACUAUCAUUAACUGAAUCCAUAGGUUAAUGAGGCGAACCGGGGGAACUGAAACAUCUAAGUACCCCGAGGAAAAGAAAUCAACCGAGAUUCCCCCAGUAGCGGCGAGCGAACGGGGAGGAGCCCAGAGCCUGAAUCAGCAUGUGUGUUAGUGGAAGCGUCUGGAAAGGCGCGCGAUACAGGGUGACAGCCCCGUACACAAAAGCGCAUGUGCUGUGAGCUCGAUGAGUAGGGCGGGACACGUGGUAUCCUGUCUGAAUAUGGGGGGACCAUCCUCCAAGGCUAAAUACUCCUGACUGACCGAUAGUGAACCAGUACCGUGAGGGAAAGGCGAAAAGAACCCCGGCGAGGGGAGUGAAACAGAACCUGAAACCGUGUACGUACAAGCAGUGGGAGCAUGAGUUUACUCAUGUGACUGCGUACCUUUUGUAUAAUGGGUCAGCGACUUAUAUUCUGUAGCAAGGUUAACCGAAUAGGGGAGCCGGAGGGAAACCGAGUCUUAACCGGGCGUUAAGUUGCAGGGUAUAGACCCGAAACCCGGUGAUCUAGCCAUGGGCAGGUUGAAGGUUGGGUAACACUAACUGGAGGACCGAACCGACUAAUGUUGAAAAAUUAGCGGAUGACCUGUGGCUGGGGGUGAAAGGCCAAUCAAACCGGGAGAUAGCUGGUUCUCCCCGAA